CACGUAGGGUGCGAGCGUUGUCCGGAAUUAUUGGGCGUAAAGAGCUCGUAGGCGGUGUGUCGCGUCGGCCGUGAAAACCUGCAGCUUAACUGUGGGCUUGCGGUCGAUACGGGCAUCACUGGAGUUCGGCAGGGGAGACUGGAAUUCCUGGUGUAGCGGUGAAAUGCGCAGAUAUCAGGAGGAACACCGGUGGCGAAGGCGGGUCUCUGGGCUGACACUGACGCUCAUGCACGAAAGCGUGGGGAUCAAACAGG
RNAcentral lists this ribosomal RNA (254 nucleotides) under uncultured bacterium. RNAcentral describes it as "partial 16S ribosomal RNA". It matches the Rfam family "Bacterial small subunit ribosomal RNA", at positions 524 to 776 of the family's 1533-position model. The record is from RNAcentral.